CUGUUCGAGCGUCAUUACAACCCUCAAGCUCUGCUUGGUAUUGGGCGUCACCCCCGGGUGCGCCUUAAAAUCAGUGGCGGUGCGUCUGGCUUCAAGCGUAGUAAUACUUCUCGCUUUGGAGUCCGGGCGAGCGUCCUGCCAAAACCCCCAUAUUUUUUCAGGUUGACCUCGGAUCAGGUAGGGAUACCCGCUGAACUUAA
This 200-nucleotide unclassified non-coding RNA is filed under the name Helotiales sp. RNAcentral's name for it is "partial contains internal transcribed spacer 2 and large subunit ribosomal RNA". The record is from RNAcentral. RNAcentral also lists the same sequence under 1 other name. Lineage: Eukaryota; Fungi; Ascomycota; Leotiomycetes; Helotiales.